Entelurus aequoreus (snake pipefish) is the source of this 1075-nucleotide long non-coding RNA. RefSeq lists it as uncharacterized. The transcript has 10 exons. The record is from RefSeq and is a predicted model, not a curated record. Lineage: Eukaryota; Metazoa; Chordata; Actinopteri; Syngnathiformes; Syngnathidae.
UAUGUCAAACACCAGCAGGCUUCGAAACAUUUCAAGCGGAGUGUUAGGGCCGCUGCUGGGAACUUCUGUCUUCGUGAAGAGGUCCUGUACCAUGGGAACAGAAGGCUCAUUUGGACAGAGGAGGAGAAAGUGGCUGUGUUAACCGAAGCCCAUGCAGGCCAUUUUGGACCACGGAGGAUGCAAGCGAAGAUUGCUCCCCGGUUUUAUUGGCGGUCCAUCACACAGGACACAUUGGAUUGGGUGCGCACAUGUCCUGACUGCCAGCGCUUUGAAAAGUUAAAGACCGAGGCGCCUGAGCUGAAGCCCGUCAAGGUCGUAUCACCUUGGUACAUGGUUGGCCUUGAGGGACAUUUUCUUUACUCAUGGUUUGCCUGAAGUUAUCUUCACUGACCAGGGCACUGAAUUCAAGAAAGAGAGUUAUGGAGGUUCUUCCAAACAAUAUGGUUAGGCUGGAGACCCUGGAUGGAAAGCCCAAGCAUAUGAUGACCCCGUAUGCAUCACUGAAACCUCUGCGCCCGAGGACUCACCCUGGCUGGCCAAAGGAUUCCCCUUCAGCCCCUGUGCUUCCAGGAGAUGCUGAAAUGCUGACUUCCUUCAUCAUCGGAGGAGGAAACUGAGUGUCAUUGUUUCACGGACCAUACUUUUGCUGGCCCCACAUCACCCUGGAAAAAAGAGCUGCACCCCGACCAGAAACAACUGCUCGAGUAUGUUUUGGCCUGCGAUCGUCCAGCUACGGAGCUGAUCGUUAAAGAGGGAGGGGUGUGUUUAACCCGAGAAGAGUUUUGGUCUCUCGGGUUGUCCAGAGACAUGGACUCCACGGGCAAAGAUGUCUUCAUUGCCAACAUGUAUAUUGUACCAACGUGGAAGCACAAAGACGUCGAUCCAAUGUCAAGCCUUCCAAGGGAUGCACAUCUAAAGGAUGCACUCCUCUUCCCAGCGUGGAGCAAGCACAACGGGCCAGAGCAUUCCCUUCUCUGUGUAAGUGUUGAAAAGAAAAAUACUGGAGAUAUCUUAUAAUUCUUGUGCAAUUACAUUAUUUAUGCCUCUUUCUGCAUUGACCAUUAUAGGUGUUGAG